UUAUAUAGGUUAGUUUUUGAUUAAUUUAAUUUCUGUUAGCUUGCGUGACUGUCAAUGGUUUUGCCCAUCACUAUAAAUGCCCACUAGCUAUGGGCCACAUUUGUCAGUAUGAGAUGGCAGUUGUGGUGUAAGGAUGCUGAAAGAGAUUGCCAUGCUUGAAAAUAUACCUGCUUUAGUCAUUGAAAGGUGGAAGAAAGCAUGUGAAGCUGAUUGAAUGUGAUCGCUGAACUGCAUCAAGAGAAAUGCCAUCAGGAAGCACUGCAGGAAGAGAGGUAAUCGUGGUGGUGUUCGGGUGAGAAUCAGAAGGGCAAUUGUGUCUUCCAUACAGUCUUCAAUGGAGUUUCCUCUGGAUAGUAUAAGCUUGGGGGGUCUUCACCUGUCACGACGUUCAUGGGAUUAUAUUUUUCAUCUCCCGAUUUUCACUCAUCUAUUUUUUUUUUCUGCUCCUCUGCGUUUACGGAUUCAUCAAAGAGGAGUGAACUGUUAAAAUCUCUGCCAACUGACCUUUGUUCAACAUCUCGAUCUGAACUUGUCAUCACAGCCUCCUUUGAAUAUGGCCUUAGUGAAUGCUAUGUCUGUAUGCAAUAAACCUUUCAUUCUACAUGACUUUUUUUACCUGUUGGGAUCUGGACAUUUUGUUCUUGACUGAGACUUGGGCCGGUGCUGGGGAGUUGUCAGUUUUUGAAGAACUUUGCCCACCGAACUGCUGUUUUAUUAGUACCCCAAGAUCUGCUUGUAGGGGUGGUGGGGUUGCAAUUGUUUUUAAACAGUCACUUAAAAUUCAAUCAGUUUCUGUUCUAACUUUCAUCGUUUGAAGUACAGUGUGUAGCAUUAGUCUACUUCAUCCCUGCUGUUCUGUGCUCUCAUCUAUAGGCCACCUAAGGUUGGAAGUACUUUUACUAGUGCUUUUUCUGAAUUGUUAACUUCUGUUUUAUGAUUGUAUGUUGCUACCGGGUGAUUUUAAUAUACAUCUUUGCAGCCCGGGGCGUCCUUUUGGUUGCUGAGUUUUGUAAUAUCUUGGACCCGUUCGGUUUUUCUCAACAUAUAAAUCAAGCAACUCAUGUUCUUGGUCACACACUUGACCUUAUUAUGUCAUAUGGUUCUUCUGUAGUUGAUGCUUCCUUCUCUGAUCACACACCCGUUCUUUUUA
Molecule: long non-coding RNA, 1150 nt
Organism: Sinocyclocheilus grahami
Lineage: Eukaryota; Metazoa; Chordata; Actinopteri; Cypriniformes; Cyprinidae
Exons: 3
Source: RefSeq, a predicted model, not a curated record